CUUCUCCUCUCCCUCUCUCUCUCUCUCUCUCAAAACACACGCACAAGGCAUGCUGUCAAUCUGUCAAAAUGCACAAUCCAAGUCUUUGGCUUCUAAUCAAAAUAAACCUAGGAGGUUUCAUUAAAAGGGAGAAGGGUUCGAAGGGAGCUCAUCUCUCUGAAUCGUCUCACGAAGAAGGGUUACCUGGUACACACUGUGCUACCCCAAUCACUGCGCUACCCUCCUUCUCAACCUCGACCCACUCCUACUCCAAUCACUGCGCUACCCAGCACUCUCAAACCCUCCCAACAACUCUUCAAUCAGAACCACUUCAAACCCUACAUGAUCCCAACCCCGACCUCUGCUUCUCCCUCGACGAUUACUGCGACUUUGGCCCCAAUUUCUUCUACCCUAAUGGCCGAAUCAACUGAAGAACAACUCGAACCUCUCUUCGAUUACCACCGUUUUCAACCCUUCGAUGUUGUCUGCCUCGACGGUCUAUCCUCUCUCUCAUAUAUGUAUGUCUCAGACAUUUGUAUUUUUGAAAUUUGCAGAUGAUUGUUCAGAUUCAUCCCCAGCCUUCUCCCCUAGACGAAAGAAGCUUUUGUACACAGCUGUUGAGAAGGUAGAUAAGAAUGAGAAAUUCAUAAAGGUGUUGAUUAUGAAGAUAAGGAAGAGGAUGAUACAGUGAAACUUGGUGAGGGUUCAACUAUAAAGGAGUUGAGGUUUAUCCUGAAGGAACACAUUUGAUGAUUCCCUGGUUUGAAAGGCCUAUUGUUGAUGAUGUUCGUGCAUGUCCCAAUCUUGUUGAGAGCUCUUCAGGGAGUCAUGAUCUCCAAAUGCUGAGGCUUUGGAAUUGCAGAGACAGCUUAGGCAACUGCAGACUCAGUAUGAUAUGCUCUCUAGUUAGGCUUCAGCUUUGAUCCAAGGAAGAAGGGCACGAGUUGCGGCAACAUCUAGUGUGCUUAAGAAUACCAAUGUUAGACUUAAAGACACUGUUAAUCAGGUGAUUGGGCCAAUAUUUUCUACAUAUUUGAAUCAAUUUGUGUUCCAGGGGUGGGGUGGGGGGCAGGAAAUUUCUAUACUUGGAAGAGGAGGAAGUGGGGGUUUGAGUAUUAAUGGAAUUGCGACAUACCAACCGUUUAAUGGAAUGCCGGAACUAAAAGAGGCACUUUCCAAGACAUUGCUAAUUCUGCUGCUAGGCAAAAAGAGAUUAUGGUGCUUUUGAAGAUCUACUGGGGAGAUGCUUCGGGGAAGAUAUGUGAAGCAAUUGAUAAUAUCCCUCUUAGUUGCCUUGUUAUAGGGAACCGAGGCGUCGGCAAGCUCAAGAGGGUGUUACAUUUUGGACCUUCCGAUCCUCAAGCGAUGGGCUUUGCUUCUGUUGAACUUCAUACCAACUUACCAGUCCCCUCUUCUCGACAUCUCCAGAAGGAGCAGGACUACUGCCUCUGCCUCAACUCCACUAGUUUCCUCUUGCGCAAGGCCAGAUCAAGCAUCAAAUUUUGACCCUGUUGAGCAACCUUCAACUUCUGCAGCAGCCCAACUUAUUCCACUAUCCCAAUGCCAAUGCCAAUGCCAACACCAACACCAACGUCGACCUCCAAAUGCUCAUGCUGGUCAGACUCAAAACUGUAGGCGCUGAGAUUCAGAGGCAUCAGCUUGCCACCCCACCAAUCCUCUCAUUGCUCUACCUGCCAUCAACUUCAACACCAAAGUGACUGUUGCUGUGACCGCCGAGGAGUUAGUUCACAAAUCGGAAAUUGCCGAGGACUUAUUGGCUGGUUUGCCCGAUGUUGUGUCUCUACAGUCCACGCCAUCCUCUCAACCCUAGAAAAAGCCUAAACCAAAACCAAAAUGGGUGAAAAAACUCGAGGUCAAGGCCACUAUCACUAAGAUCUCUUCUAAUUCUGAGAAGGAUCUAGAGGACUUAGUCCCAACGCCGAGAAGAGGCCGAUUGAAGCCGAAUCUACUGAUGCGCCCCCCGCGAAGAAGUCGAGAUCUCAGGACCAGGAUAGUGAUAGUGGCUUCCACCCUCAGGACACCUGGGCCCCUGAGGUCAUCGUGGGAGACUAACCUCUGAAGGCUAUUGACAGUGCCAUUAAGAGCCUUGAGGUUGGGGCUGCUCUAUCAAUAACAAUUUUACUUUUGACAGACAUGAACCAGAUGGCCGACUUCAAUCAGUAUGAAAACUUUGCAAUGACGAUGCGACACUCUAUUCUGGUAAAUCCUUUAGCUUUUAUCUCUCCAUUCAGCUUUAAUUCAGUCUUUUAUACUUGGGAAACUUUUUCUAACAUCCAGUAUGUGCACUGUCAUGAGGCCAAGGCUGAGUUGGUGAAGAAGGACCUUACAAAGAAAACCCAAGAAGCUAUAGGUCUCCUCUCUUCACUUAACAAAGCUAAGGCCAACAAUCGGGGUCUAAUGGACAAGGCCACGACCGCCCAGUCCACUCAACCCAAAGUCGAGGCUGCAACGAGAGAGGUCGAGGAAAAAGCCAAGGCAGCUGAGGCGAAAUAUGCCAAGGCUGAGGUUAAGGCCAAGAUUGCUGAAAAUAAGUCCAAACUUGCUGAGACGUUGGAGGCCAAGGAAGCCGAAAUCAAGGCUGCCGAUGACAAGGCUUCUACUAAAGGCCAGGCCGACGUGCGCGACCAAUAUAAGAAGCAAGUGAAUCUAGCUUGUAAUAAAGGCUAUUUCUUGGGUUGGAUGGCAACGCUCAAGAAGCUAUUUGUCCUUGAGGACUCUCCACUUCGAGACAUUACUCAACUUGAGGUGCCUUUCCCUCUUUCACCAGACAACUCUAAAGCUGAGGCCGAAGAGGAAGAUUUCGAGGCCGAAGACAUAGUCGAGGCCGAGGUUUGUUACUGGAGCCAAGUUCCCCACCCUGAAUGAUCAAGUCCUAGACUUGACUGAGGAAUAUGGGGAUGAGGCUCCCAAGAGCACCUCGCUGAAGAAAAUAAUGAUGCUUGAGGCCGAGGUCGCUGUUGUAGAGAAAAGUCAUGAUGAGACUUUUCAAGAGAUAGAUGCUAAAAUUGUUGCCUAGACCGAAGCAUCGCCAAAAACCAAGGUUGUGCAAUCCGAGAUCAGUGCACAAGAUCCUAAUACUUAGGAUUUUUUUUCUUUCCAUUGUACUUUUUCUUUUGACAACUUUUGAUUUGUCGGGCCGAUGUGCCUUCUGUUUGUAAUUGAACAAGUUUUUUAUUAAUGCAACUCCUGUUUUUCUUACAA
This is a non-coding RNA of Camellia sinensis, 3201 nucleotides long. The record is from RefSeq and is a predicted model, not a curated record. NCBI's taxonomy places the organism in Eukaryota, Viridiplantae, Streptophyta, Magnoliopsida, Ericales, Theaceae.